RNAcentral lists this long non-coding RNA (863 nucleotides) under Pan troglodytes (chimpanzee). RNAcentral's name for it is "long non-coding RNA NONPTRT012979". Lineage: Eukaryota; Metazoa; Chordata; Mammalia; Primates; Hominidae. The record is from RNAcentral.
AGUUUCUAUGGUUCAGAAAUCUAGGCAUUGAAGAUCUUGUUUCUCUGGCUCAAUACCUCUCAUAAGAUUGUAGUCAAGUUGUCAGCUGGGGCUGCAAUCAUUUCAAGGCUCAAGUGUGAAAGAAUCCACUUCUAAAUUUACCCAAGUGCCUUUUGGCAGGAUUGAGUUCCUCACAGGUUGUUAGACGAGGGCACUCAGGUUCUCAGUGCCUGUUGGGUGGAGGUUGUCCUCAGUCCCUUGCCACAUGGGACUCUCCAUAGGGCAGCUUACAAUGUGACAACUGGCUUUAUUAUACAAGAGCAGAAAAGAACCAGACAAAGAGGGUAACAGAUAUUUGGAAGUAAGUGAUCUGAAGAUGCAGGCCCUGUGGUAAUUUCUCUCUCCCAAAAUAGUAGGAGGUGCAGCAAGACUCAGUUCUCCAAAGCACCAGCAGAAAUGCACAUUUUAUAUGUAGAGGGAGGAUUGGAGGCAGUGGAGCCCUCAGCCGCAGCAACAUUCUGCAGAAUGGAGUUGGCUGUUAUGCCUGAUAGUGUAGCUCUUUAUCAGGUUGUUCAUCUAUACCAACGACAUAAACUCACCAAACAUGUUUUUAAAAAUUCCCUCCUGCUUAAAUUAUCCAGAUUAAGAUUCUGUUGCCUGCAGCUAAGUGUCUGGAUGGAUGCAUGUAUUUUCUUCACUCAUGAUCUAUGUUUUAUUUUCAAUAAGCAAGAAUUUUAACAUAAUUGUUGAAAAUUAAACUCUAGUGAGAUGGGAUGUGUGACUACCCCAUAGGUCACACAAAUUUUGGUUUCUAACACACAGCAGUAGCUUCCCUUUUGGAAACUUAUGUACAAUGAAUCAAUCAAUACAGAAUGUUUGGUAGU